Molecule: ribosomal RNA, 468 nt
Filed under: uncultured bacterium
Lineage: Bacteria
Description: partial 16S ribosomal RNA
Rfam family: Bacterial small subunit ribosomal RNA
Source: RNAcentral
GACGAACGCUGGCGGCGUGCUUAACACAUGCAAGUCGAACGGAGAGGCCCUGCUUUUGUGGGGUGCUCGAGUGGCGAACGGGUGAGUAACACGUGAGUAACCUGCCCUUGACUUUGGGAUAACUUCAGGAAACUGGGGCUAAUACCGGAUAGGAGCUCCUGCUGCAUGGUGGGGGUUGGAAAGUUUCGGCGGUUGGGGAUGGACUCGCGGCUUAUCAGCUUGUUGGUGGGGUAGUGGCUUACCAAGGCUUUGACGGGUAGCCGGCCUGAGAGGGUGACCGGCCACAUUGGGACUGAGAUACGGCCCAGACUCCUACGGGAGGCAGCAGUGGGGAAUACUGCACAAUGGGCGGAAGCCUGAUGCAGCAACGCCGCGUGCGGGAUGACGGCCUUCGGGUUGUAAACCGCUUUCGCCUGUGACGAAGCGUGAGUGACGGUAAUGGGUAAAGAAGCACCGGCUAACUACGUG